GGGGAAUAUUGGACAAUGGGCGCAAGCCUGAUCCCGCCAUACCGCGUGGGUGAAGAAGGCCUUCGGGUUGUAAAGCCCUUUUGUUGGGAAAGAAAAGCAUUCGGUUAAUACCCGAUUGUUCUGACGUUACCAACAGAAUAAGCACCGGCUAACUUCGUGCCAGCAGCCGCGGUAAUACGAAGGGUGCAAGCGUUAAUCGGAAUUACUGGGCGUAAAACGCGCGUAGGUGGUUUGGUAAGAUGGAUGUGAAAUCCCCGGGCUCAACCUGGGAACUGCAUCCAUAACUGCCUGACUAGAGUACGGUAGAGGGUGGUGGAAUUUCCUGUGUAGCGGUGAAAUGCGUAGAUAUAGGAAGGAACACCAGUGGCGAAGGCGACCACCUGGACUGAUACUGACACUGAGGUGCGGAAGCGUGGGGAGCAAACA
RNAcentral lists this ribosomal RNA (426 nucleotides) under uncultured Pseudomonadaceae bacterium. RNAcentral's name for it is "bacterial SSU rRNA". It matches the Rfam family "Bacterial small subunit ribosomal RNA", at positions 356 to 774 of the family's 1533-position model. Lineage: Bacteria; Pseudomonadati; Pseudomonadota; Gammaproteobacteria; Pseudomonadales; Pseudomonadaceae. The record is from RNAcentral.